GACGAACGCUGGCGGCGUGCCUAAUACAUGCAAGUCGAGCGAGCUUGCCUAGAUGAUUUUAGUGCUUGCACUAAAUGAAACUAGAUACAAGCGAGCGGCGGACGGGUGAGUAACACGUGGGUAACCUGCCCAAGAGACUGGGAUAACACCUGGAAACAGAUGCUAAUACCGGAUAACAACACUAGACGCAUGUCUAGAGUUUGAAAGGCGGCGUAAGCUGUCGCUAAGGGAUGGCCCCGCGGUGCAUUAGCUAGUUGGUAAGGUAACGGCUUACCAAGGCGACGAUGCAUAGCCGAGUUGAGAGACUGAUCGGCCACAUUGGGACUGAGACACGGCCCAA
RNAcentral lists this ribosomal RNA (340 nucleotides) under uncultured bacterium. Its description in RNAcentral is "bacterial SSU rRNA". It matches the Rfam family "Bacterial small subunit ribosomal RNA", at positions 28 to 334 of the family's 1533-position model. The record is from RNAcentral.